UGUGGGUGCUAUACUGCAGUCGAACGAAGAGCUUAGAGUAGCAAUACUUUGAUAACUCUUAGUGGCGAACGGGUGAGUAACGCGUUGGUGACCUGCCCCAAAGAAAGGGAUAACAGUUCGAAAGGGCUGCUAAUACCUUAUGCGAUCAUUUAGUUUAGACGCUUUAUGAUCAAAGGAGCUUGCUCCGCUUUGGGAGGGGCCUGCGUACCAUCAGCUAGUUGGUAGGGUAAUGGCCUACCAAGGCUAUGACGGUUAGGGGACCUGAGAGGGUGGCCCCCCACAAUGGAACUGAAACACGGUCCAUACACCUACGGGUGGCAGCAGUAGGGAAUAUUGGUAAUCUGCGAAAGCGGGAACCAGCAACGCCGCGUGUGCGAAGAAGGCCUUCGGGUUGUAAAGCACUUUUCGGGAGGAAGAGGAAGGACUGUACUCCCGGAAUAAGUCUCGGCUAACUACGUGCCAGCAGCCGCGGUAAUACGUAGGAGGCUAACGUUAUCCGGAUUUACUGGGCGUAAAGCGCGUGUAGGCGGUCUGGUAAGUUGGACGUGAAAGCUCCCGGCUCAACUGGGAGAGGUCGUUCAAUACUGUCGGACUUGAGGAUGGUAGAGGGAGGUGGAAUUCCGGGUGUAGUGGUGAAAUGCGCAGAUAUCCGGAGGAACACCAGUGGCGAAAGCGGCCUCCUGGACCACUCCUGACGCUCAGACGCGGAAGCUAGGGUAGCAAACGGGAUUAGAGACCCCGGUAGUCCUAGCUGUAAACGAUGUGAACUUGGCGUCGGUGGGAUUAAAUCCAUCGGUGUCGAAGCUAACGCGAUAAGU
RNAcentral lists this ribosomal RNA (818 nucleotides) under uncultured bacterium. RNAcentral describes it as "bacterial SSU rRNA". It matches the Rfam family "Bacterial small subunit ribosomal RNA", at positions 41 to 865 of the family's 1533-position model. The record is from RNAcentral.